Molecule: long non-coding RNA, 512 nt
Filed under: Fukomys damarensis (Damara mole-rat)
Lineage: Eukaryota; Metazoa; Chordata; Mammalia; Rodentia; Bathyergidae
Description: lncRNA (ENSFDAG00000030427.1)
Source: RNAcentral
UUCAAAGAGAUUUACAGAGACCACGUCUGGUGGAGGGAGAGGAGGAACAGGACUGGCAGGUGCGACUCCGGCCCCUCUGGAGAAGGAGCGAGCUGUGACAAGAAGAACCAAAGCCAUGGUCUUGGCAGAAGCGGAGCGUGGCCAAAGGCACAGUGAGAGCGACGGGACACGCGGGGGACAGGCCACGGCUGUCCCUGCUCACUUUCUGCUCAUGCCUGGCGCUCGGCUGGACGCUUCUCAGAAUCAACCUCUCAUCCUCACAGCGGCCCCGGAAGAUGAGAACAUCAGGAUCAGAGAGGCAGAAUAAUGUCCCAGAGGGCCGCAGUGUGGAGAGGGAGGGCGCCCGAGAGGAACCGGCAGCUGUGGAGCCAGAUCCCGAACCCCGACAGUCCCCACAGAUGGCAUCAGCGGCCUGGAUUCCCUUUACCUCCUCCCUCAGUGCUGGGAGCCUUCUGCAGACGAGCCAGUGCAAAGGUGGAAACGUGGGAUUUGCAGGACUCACACGUCCAUAG